Molecule: ribosomal RNA, 457 nt
Filed under: uncultured beta proteobacterium
Lineage: Bacteria; Pseudomonadati; Pseudomonadota; Betaproteobacteria
Description: bacterial SSU rRNA
Rfam family: Bacterial small subunit ribosomal RNA
Source: RNAcentral
CGGGUUGCAGCAGUGGGGAAUUUUGGACAAUGGACGCAAGUCUGAUCCAGCCAUUCCGCGUGCAGGAUGAAGGCCCUCGGGUUGUAAACUGCUUUUGUACAGAACGAAAAGGUCUCUCUUAAUACGGGGGGCUCAUGACGGUACUGUAAGAAUAAGCACCGGCUAACUACGUGCCAGCAGCCGCGGUAAUACGUAGGGUGCAAGCGUUAAUCGGAAUUACUGGGCGUAAAGCGUGCGCAGGCGGUUAUAUAAGACAGAUGUGAAAUCCCCGGGCUCAACCUGGGAACUGCAUUUGUGACUGUAUAGCUAGAGUACGGUAGAGGGGGAUGGAAUUCCGCGUGUAGCAGUGAAAUGCGUAGAUAUGCGGAGGAACACCGAUGGCGAAGGCAAUCCCCUGGACCUGUACUGACGCUCAUGCACGAAAGCGUGGGGAGCAAACAGGAUUAGAUACCCCCGU